UAGCUCAGUGGAUAGAGUUAAAGCUCCACUUUGAGACAUCAGCUCUGGCAGAGAAAUGCCACAAAGCAACAAUUUUAAGUGAUUUAUACACGGGCACAAAUUAUUUGUACCUUAUAUUUUUAAAACCCAUUCUUGAAGUGAUGCAACGGAUCAAUAAAAACCUUCAGUCAAAUAAGUCAAACCCGACUAAGCUAUUGGGCGACUUAAUAUUUGGAAUAAAUUACCUUCGCUCAAAGGUAAUACCACCUGACUGCGAAAUUAAUAUUCUAGAAGAACCAUUUGAGACCCAUACAAAACGUGAUUUAUAUCUAGGAUACGAGUUUGAAACUCAUUUUAAAAAAAAUCAAAAACAACAUCGAUGAUGAGGCAGAGUUGACUAUUCGUCAACAUUGCACGAAAUUCAUUAUUGAAUUAAUUUGUCAACUGAAGCAUAGAUUGCCAGAUAACUUCAAAAUCUUGAAAAAUAUAGAUAUUUUCUCAGUCGAAAAUAUUUUGCGAGCUAACAAACAAUCGAUAGUAGAAAUUUUGGAGAUCUUUGAUAAAAAAGGCGAAGAAAUUGAAAAAAUUGUUUGUCAAUACAAUACAAUUCAUCUUCAGCGAUGGGAAAACCAAGAGAACACGGUAGCGUUUUGGGCAGAAGUGAAAACGUUUAUGGAUUCUGCUGGCAACAGACAGUUUCAAGAUUUGGCAGUAUUUGCCUUAAAUUUGUUGUCGCUGCCAUGGUCGAAUGCGGAAGUGGAGCGCGUGUUCAGCCAAGUUAACUUGGUGAAAACAAAGUUAAGGAACAGGCUUCACAUCGAUACGCUAAAUUAGAUUUUGGCAGUUAGAUUUGGAUUACGUCGAAACGGAACUUGCUGCCAUAACUAUGAAGUGCCUGAAAAAUUUUUGCGCCAAAUCGGCACAAACAUCAAUGUUUUAGAAUCUGAAAAUGAAACACUCGACGAAGUGUUAAUAAAUUUGCAUGAAAAUGUAUAAAUUUA
Molecule: long non-coding RNA, 980 nt
Organism: Drosophila mojavensis
Lineage: Eukaryota; Metazoa; Arthropoda; Insecta; Diptera; Drosophilidae
Exons: 3
Source: RefSeq, a predicted model, not a curated record